CAUUAUUUACAGUAAAAAAAAAAAAAAGAAAGUAUAUCGAACAUGUAGAGCAUACAGUUGCAGAUAAUCAGGAUGUAGUGAUAUAGAAGAAAGUGUAGGCUAGAAAUAGAUAAAGUUAAAGAAUACAUUGCAGGGUGUCCCAGAAAAAAAAUAUUUUUGAAUUCAACAUUGUGCACUAUGUAAAUCCUCCUUAUUUGGUCCCAGUAGACCACCAUAAAAAUAUCUGGGCUCAAAGUCACUGUUUAGCUGAAGAAGGUGUUUUUAAUUUAAUUACUUAAUUACAAUUUUUCCCUAUAUGUAAAAUAUGUAUAAAAAAACUGUAUAUUUUGUGAUCAAUUCUGUUGUAUUUUUUAGUAUAGAUACUAAUAUUAAAUAUGGCUAGUGCAGGAUAUGUUGGAAAAGCUAAUGGAAGAAGAAGUCUUUAUUUGUUGGGGUACCCUCUUAAAAUAUUUUCUCCAAAUAGACUGGUGGGGAAGUUUGUCGAAGAAUUUACUGGUUUAAUCGGACUUAUUCAACUGCAAUCAAACAUUGUCCUCCAAAAUUGGAUGUUCUCUAGCGAGUACAAACAAGCUUAAAUGCAGUGGUAGUAUGUGUUAUGCUGAUAACAGAAACGAAAUAUCAAAUGUGUGCAUCAUAAGAGAGUGCUUUGUUCCAAAUGUGUGCAUCAUAACAUUUGGAACAAAGCAGGCUUUGAUGAAAAUUUUAUCAUCAUUGAACGGUUGAACAGUCUAAAACAUCUUCUUCAGUUAAA
Non-coding RNA from Hydra vulgaris (swiftwater hydra), 751 nucleotides. NCBI's taxonomy places the organism in Eukaryota, Metazoa, Cnidaria, Hydrozoa, Anthoathecata, Hydridae. The record is from RefSeq and is a predicted model, not a curated record.